AGCUAAUUAGCUAUACAUUGACAUAUGAUUAGGAGUGUCAAAAUGGGUAAGUCAACUCAACUCAACUUAUAAUCAAAUGAGUUUAGGGUAACAAAAUGAGUUGGGUCAACCCAUAACUCAUUUAAUUUGAUGGGUUGAGUUGUUAAAUGGGUUAACCCAUUUAAGUAAUAAUUUAAUUAAUUAUUAUU
Molecule: small RNA, 188 nt
Filed under: Arabidopsis thaliana (thale cress)
Lineage: Eukaryota; Viridiplantae; Streptophyta; Magnoliopsida; Brassicales; Brassicaceae
Description: ATSL277770
Source: RNAcentral